Macaca nemestrina (pig-tailed macaque) is the source of this 97-nucleotide small nuclear RNA. Its record names the gene U4. It matches the Rfam family "U4 spliceosomal RNA". Rfam says of the family: U4 small nuclear RNA (U4 snRNA) is a component of the major U2-dependent spliceosome. The record is from Ensembl. NCBI's taxonomy places the organism in Eukaryota, Metazoa, Chordata, Mammalia, Primates, Cercopithecidae.
AGCUUUGAGCAGUGGCAGUAUCGUAGCCAAUGAGGUUUAGCCGAGGUGCGAUUAUUGCUAAUUGAAAAGAGACUAUUCCUUUCACUAGCAAAUUUAC